Molecule: long non-coding RNA, 977 nt
Organism: Arvicola amphibius (Eurasian water vole)
Lineage: Eukaryota; Metazoa; Chordata; Mammalia; Rodentia; Cricetidae
Exons: 4
Source: RefSeq, a predicted model, not a curated record
UGGAGUUUGGUAAAGUAGAGCCAGCUGCCAGAGGUGACCAUGUAGAAGUCACAGAAGCAGUUGUAUGGCUUCGUUUCAGCCUGAGGAGGGAGAAAGAGGGACUGGUACUCCACAGACCUCUUCCCUCUUGAUCACCAGCCUUUCGGAUUAAUGCACAGUUUCAUGAGCUCUUGCCUCUGAGGUUGCCUAGGAGCCUUGGGUGAGACAUUAAGACAAGCGCACUAACUCCUGUUUCAUCUCCCCUGUCCUAAGUCGCCCAGCCCCACCGCGUCACACAGGCUGGGAAAAACGAUCCCUUACUCGAUUGUCUGCUGGUUUUCUUUGACUACUGCUCGACUCUUCACGUUCGCUGGCAGCCAUGAAUGAAACGUAACGUGCUCAAUGACUGACAUCCAUUAGAGCCCUUCGACAAACCCCGGGCUGCGUUUUGAAAGGCCCCUGGAAGAGAAAGGACUGUGUGCUCUUUGAAUGUGGGCCCGCUGAACCGCUGCCAAGGGCGGACCGCUCCAUUCAAAGGGCUGAGAGAAUAAAUGAGAAUAACAUCCUUGGGGACCCACAGGAUCAGCUUACUCUGAAAACGCUCAGCUUCACAAAGGGUCAGAGUCACAAGGCUCCAGGAGCUUGUGCAAUGUGACACUAACUGCAGUCCUUUUUAUGGACAGAACUUUGGAACUGAAAGUUACUAACAGCAAAACAGCUAAGCUUUGAUUCUCGGGAGGCCAAUGGAAGGAUACACACAGGCUAGAACCGAGUGACCUGGCAGUGGGCAAGAGGCGAUGUGACACCAGCACUCCUCAGGUCUCUUCUAGCUCCUGCAUUGAAGCAUCUCGGCCCUACUGGAAAUCACUGUGAAAAAGAAAUCAGACUGAACCAGGAUCCCCCACCACAUCCUCCAGCUUCUAUUUAUAUCUAAAUUGUGACCGAUGCCAAUGUCACUGGAUAACAAAUGUGUUGAUUAUCUUUGGCUCAAAUGCUUG